RNAcentral lists this ribosomal RNA (253 nucleotides) under uncultured bacterium. RNAcentral describes it as "partial 16S ribosomal RNA". It matches the Rfam family "Bacterial small subunit ribosomal RNA", at positions 524 to 776 of the family's 1533-position model. The record is from RNAcentral.
UACAGAGGUCCCAAGCGUUGUUCGGAUUCACUGGGCGUAAAGGGUGCGCAGGUGGUCGGGUAAGUCUGACGUGAAAUCCCGCAGCUUAACUGCGGAAUGGCAUUGGAUACUAUUCGGCUAGAGGGUUGGAGGGGGGACUGGAAUUCUCGGUGUAGCAGUGAAAUGCGUAGAUAUCGAGAGGAACACCAGUGGCGAAGGCGGCCUUCUGGACGAUGACUGACGCUGAGACGCGAAAGCGUGGGGAGCAAACAGG